AGAGAAGGAUUUCUUUCCAUCUGACAGAGUGAGCUUACCUUCACUUCUUCUCCAUCUUGAAGCCAAAAUUCAAAUUUAUGCUCGAACGAAAAGCCAAGACUCCAGAUUACGGGUUUGAUCUUCAAUACUUAAUCUGUAAUGUCCUUUAAGGAUACUAAAUUUGAUGAAAACGAAGAUGAUCACACAUCUCACAGUGAUUAUCUCAAGCAAACGGAAAAGUGGUUCUGAAUCUGGCAUUGCUCCACCUGUCGGUGCUGUGCUACCUGGUGCUGUUGUGACAGGAAAUAUUCACCUCAGAUAGACCAAUGCUUUAUGAAUUGUAGGAUGAACGCUAUGAGGUUUUUCUGUACUGAUUCCACGAAGUACGUGGUGCUAUUUUGUUGCAAGUUUAGUUCAUUGAGUGGAGCUUUGAUGACAAUUUGUUUUAAAAGCUCUACUGAAUUCGAACAAUACGAGUUUCUUUUUUUUUUUUUUGAAAUCUUCAUACAUGCAGCUGCAUUGCGGGCCUAACAUGCUAAUUAUUAUGAAUUGGAGAGACAUGAUAUAAUAUUUAGUAAGAUACCUUGUUCAUGGUGUUUCAUGACUGGUCGCAAUCAAGGUGGAGAAUGUCUUAUUUUGAAUGUUUCUUUAUACGACUCUUAACAAUAUUUAUGGUGAUUUCCUUCAAAAUAUUUGGAGCAAGUUAAGUUUUCUUA
Long non-coding RNA from Populus euphratica (Euphrates poplar), 695 nucleotides. RefSeq lists it as uncharacterized. The record is from RefSeq and is a predicted model, not a curated record. The transcript has 3 exons. Lineage: Eukaryota; Viridiplantae; Streptophyta; Magnoliopsida; Malpighiales; Salicaceae.